CGGCAAUUGCUCAAAUUUGAAAUCUGACUUCUUUUUGAGGUCCGAAUUGUAAUUUGUAGAGGAUGCUUUUGGUGCGGUGCCUUCCGAGUUCCCUGGAACGGGACGCCUUAGAGGGUGAGAGCCCCGUACGGUUGGACGCCUAGCCUCUGUAAAGCUCCUUCGAC
This 164-nucleotide ribosomal RNA is filed under the name Sordariomycetes sp. RNAcentral describes it as "partial large subunit ribosomal RNA". It matches the Rfam family "Eukaryotic large subunit ribosomal RNA", at positions 99 to 261 of the family's 3401-position model. The record is from RNAcentral. Lineage: Eukaryota; Fungi; Ascomycota; Sordariomycetes.